CGCCUGAGUGUAGAGGCGAAAGACCGAGCGGUCCUUGUGAACGAGACUACAUUUACAUAUUCACCCUAAGGGUUUGAAGGCGUGUGUACCAGCAAAGAUUAGUGUGACAUACCUCCGCACUUUGGCAGUGGACUACUCUAACGGCACCUUCAGUCUCUGCGUUUUUGUAAUAACACUACUUCUCCAGAGACAGGACUGAGAGGAAGAAAUAAAAAAGACGACUGAAAUAGUGAUGCCAUCCAACAAGUACUCCUCCGCUAUCAUGGCGGAAAGUGACAAGAUGACUGCCACGGCUGCUGUGAAUGGUGACAUGUCAGUAGGAGAGGGAUUGUCAGAAAACGACAGCGGUCUGGAAAUGACCAAUGAGAACAGCCCACUGACUGCGGCAGAGCCACCUUCACCUUUCUGCCCCAAACAGAACGGAGGCGCAGCCUCAC
Sinocyclocheilus rhinocerous is the source of this 437-nucleotide long non-coding RNA. RefSeq lists it as uncharacterized. The record is from RefSeq and is a predicted model, not a curated record. NCBI's taxonomy places the organism in Eukaryota, Metazoa, Chordata, Actinopteri, Cypriniformes, Cyprinidae. The transcript is spliced from 3 exons.